RNAcentral lists this ribosomal RNA (483 nucleotides) under uncultured bacterium. RNAcentral describes it as "partial 16S ribosomal RNA". It matches the Rfam family "Bacterial small subunit ribosomal RNA", at positions 30 to 506 of the family's 1533-position model. The record is from RNAcentral.
AUUGAACGCUGGCGGCAGGCCUAACACAUGCAAGUCGAGCGGAUGAAGGGAGCUUGCUCCUGGAUUCAGCGGCGGACGGGUGAGUAAUGCCUAGGAAUCUGCCUGGUAGUGGGGGAUAACGUCCGGAAACGGGCGCUAAUACCGCAUACGUCCUGAGGGAGAAAGUGGGGGAUCUUCGGACCUCACGCUAUCAGAUGAGCCUAGGUCGGAUUAGCUAGUUGGUGGGGUAAAGGCCUACCAAGGCGACGAUCCGUAACUGGUCUGAGAGGAUGAUCAGUCAAACUGAAACGGAGACACGGUCCAAACUCCUACGGGAGGCAGCAGUGGGGAAUAUUGGACAAUGGGCGAAAGCCUGAUCCAGCCAUGCCGGGGGUGUGAAGAAGGUCUUCGGAUUGUAAAGAACUUUAAGUUGGGAGGAAGGGCAGUAAGUUAAUACCUUGCUGUUUGGACGUUACCAACAGAAUAAGCACCGGCUAACUUCGU